ACUCCUGCGGGAGGCAGCAGUGGGGAAUUUUGGACAAUGGGCGAAAGCCUGAUCCAGCAAUGCCGCGUGUGUGAAGAAGGCCUUCGGGUUGUAAAGCACUUUUGUCCGGAAAGAAAUCCUUGGCUCUAAUACAGUCGGGGGAUGACGGUACCGGAAGAAUAAGCACCGGCUAACUACGUGCCAGCAGCCGCGGUAAUACGUAGGGUGCGAGCGUUAAUCGGAAUUACUGGGCGUAAAGCGUGCGCAGGCGGUUUGCUAAGACCGAUGUGAAAUCCCCGGGCUCAACCUGGGAACUGCAUUGGUGACUGGCAGGCUGGAGUAUGGCAGAGGGGGGUAGAAUUCCACGUGUAGCAGUGAAAUGCGUAGAGAUGUGGAGGAAUACCGAUGGCGAAGGCAGCCCCCUGGGCCAAUACUGACGCUCAUGCACGAAAGCGUGGGGAGCAAACAGGAUUAGAUACCCGAGUAGUCCCAUGAU
This 475-nucleotide ribosomal RNA is filed under the name uncultured organism. Its description in RNAcentral is "partial 16S ribosomal RNA". It matches the Rfam family "Bacterial small subunit ribosomal RNA", at positions 335 to 801 of the family's 1533-position model. The record is from RNAcentral.